RNAcentral lists this ribosomal RNA (467 nucleotides) under uncultured bacterium. Its description in RNAcentral is "partial 16S ribosomal RNA". It matches the Rfam family "Bacterial small subunit ribosomal RNA", at positions 29 to 507 of the family's 1533-position model. The record is from RNAcentral.
ACGAACGCUGGCGGCGUGCUUAACACAUGCAAGUCGAACGGAAAGGCCCUGCUUUUGUGGGGUGCUCGAGUGGCGAACGGGUGAGUAACACGUGAGUAACCUGCCCUUGACUUUGGGAUAACUUCAGGAAACUGGGGCUAAUACCGGAUAGGAGUUCCUGCUGCAUGGUGGGGGUUGGAAAGUUUCGGCGGUUGGGGAUGGACUCGCGGCUUAUCAGCUUGUUGGUGGGGUAGUGGCUUACCAAGGCUUUGACGGGUAGCCGGCCUGAGAGGGUGACCGGCCACAUUGGGACUGAGAUACGGCCCAGACUCCUACGGGAGGCAGCAGUGGGGAAUAUUGCACAAUGGGCGGAAGCCUGAUGCAGCAACGCCGCGUGCGGGAUGACGGCCUUCGGGUUGUAAACCGCUUUCGCCUGUGACGAAGCGUGAGUGACGGUAAUGGGUAAAGAAGCACCGGCUAACUACGUG